GACGAACGCUGGCGGCGUGCUUAACACAUGCAAGUCGAACGGAAAGGCCCUGCUUUUGUGGGGUGCUCGAGUGGCGAACGGGUGAGUAACACGUGAGUAACCUGCCCUUGACUUUGGGAUAACUUCAGGAAACUGGGGCUAAUACCGGAUAGGAGCUCCUGCUGCAUGGUGGGGGUUGGAAAGUUUCGGCGGUUGGGGAUGGACUCGCGGCUUAUCAGCUUGUUGGUGGGGUAGGGGCUUACCAAGGCUUUGACGGGUAGCCGGCCUGAGAGGGUGACCGGCCACAUUGGGACUGAGAUACGGCCCAGACUCCUACGGGAGGCAGUAGUGGGGAAUAUUGCACAAUGGGCGGAAGCCUGAUGCAGCAACGCCGCGUGCGGGAUGACGGCCUUCGGGUUGUAAACCGCUUUCGCCUGUGACGAAGCGUGAGUGACGGUAAUGGGUAAAGAAGCACCGGCUAACUACGUG
This 468-nucleotide ribosomal RNA is filed under the name uncultured bacterium. RNAcentral describes it as "partial 16S ribosomal RNA". It matches the Rfam family "Bacterial small subunit ribosomal RNA", at positions 28 to 507 of the family's 1533-position model. The record is from RNAcentral.